GCGAAAGUGGCGGAAUGGCAGACGCACUAGAUUCAGGUUCUAGCGGGCAAUAGGCCUGUGGGGGUUCGAGUCCCCCCUUUCGCA
Molecule: transfer RNA, 84 nt
Filed under: Deltaproteobacteria bacterium
Lineage: Bacteria; Pseudomonadati; Myxococcota; Myxococcia
Description: tRNA-Leu
Rfam family: tRNA
About the family: Transfer RNA (tRNA) molecules are approximately 80 nucleotides in length. Their secondary structure includes four short double-helical elements and three loops (D, anti-codon, and T loops). Further hydrogen bonds mediate the characteristic L-shaped molecular structure. tRNAs have two regions of fundamental functional importance: the anti-codon, which is responsible for specific mRNA codon recognition, and the 3' end, to which the tRNAs corresponding amino acid is attached (by aminoacyl-tRNA synthetases). tRNAs cope with the degeneracy of the genetic code in two manners: having more than one tRNA (with a specific anti-codon) for a particular amino acid; and 'wobble' base-pairing, i.e. permitting non-standard base-pairing at the 3rd anti-codon position.
Source: RNAcentral